This 211-nucleotide long non-coding RNA is filed under the name Mytilus galloprovincialis (Mediterranean mussel). Lineage: Eukaryota; Metazoa; Mollusca; Bivalvia; Mytilida; Mytilidae. The record is from RNAcentral.
AAAUUCUUGUGCUGUCUACAAAAAUAAAUCGAAAUAUUUACGGGAAAUAUAGAAAAAUUAUCUCAUGAAUGUGUACAACUGCACGUCUGUGCGUUUUAUUUUCUUUUUGUCGGAUGGUUAUUAGAUAUAGCAUUAGUCAUCGGCGCGCUUACGAUUACGUUAAAAUAUAAUUAAAAACCAAGACUUUUAAUGAUUGUAUUUUAAAUCCCGG